GGAGAGGUGCGAGAGUGGUUGAAUCGGGCAGUCUCGAAAAUUGUUGAACCUUAACGGGUUCCGUGGGUUCGAAUCCCACCCUCUCCGCCA
This 90-nucleotide transfer RNA is filed under the name Acidobacteriota bacterium. RNAcentral's name for it is "tRNA-Ser". It matches the Rfam family "tRNA". From Rfam's summary of the family: Transfer RNA (tRNA) molecules are approximately 80 nucleotides in length. Their secondary structure includes four short double-helical elements and three loops (D, anti-codon, and T loops). Further hydrogen bonds mediate the characteristic L-shaped molecular structure. tRNAs have two regions of fundamental functional importance: the anti-codon, which is responsible for specific mRNA codon recognition, and the 3' end, to which the tRNAs corresponding amino acid is attached (by aminoacyl-tRNA synthetases). tRNAs cope with the degeneracy of the genetic code in two manners: having more than one tRNA (with a specific anti-codon) for a particular amino acid; and 'wobble' base-pairing, i.e. permitting non-standard base-pairing at the 3rd anti-codon position. The record is from RNAcentral. Lineage: Bacteria; Pseudomonadati; Acidobacteriota. RNAcentral also lists the same sequence under 3 other names.